Molecule: long non-coding RNA, 1431 nt
Organism: Hipposideros armiger (great roundleaf bat)
Lineage: Eukaryota; Metazoa; Chordata; Mammalia; Chiroptera; Hipposideridae
Exons: 3
Source: RefSeq, a predicted model, not a curated record
UGGCUUUGUGUCAGCAGGAAGAACCUUCCAUCAGGUGGCUGCUGUGGGUGGGAGGCGGGUCUCUCACCUGGCUCUGGUUUGGACUCGGAGAAAUGGAUGAGGUGAGUCAUUUGCGUGAUGGAUUUGGAGACUGGGCCACGCCCAGACUUCCCUCCCACCAGAAAGUCCCUUGAUGCCGCAGCCUCGCCUCCGGGAGCUUUCCUGUGCAAACACAGCUUGGCACUUGGCCCUGCGGACCGGGGAGGACGGCACACCCUCGGCUGCUCCCUCGGGUCAGUGGGAAUGAAUGCCCCUUGAUGUCAUCGCUUUCCCUUUCACGCACCUGCCAGGGCCACUCCCCCCUGCAGCCCCGUGCUGACGUUGAAGCGUGGUCUCUCCCUGACAUGCCUGCCGUCGCAGCUGAGCCACCUCUGAGCCCACCCCGCAAUGCCCUGUCACUGGGAGCCUCUUCCUAGGCCCCGCUGACUUUACCUACCGGCCAUGGGGUCCCCGAGAACCCAUCAUCUCUGCAGUGGUGACAGGUCCUGCCCAACGUCUGUGGCUCACACUCAAACCAGCAAUGUUUUUUGUGGACACCAUUGUUUUGGGCCAUUAACUAUAAUUUGUGCAUGUGUGACAUUUCCUGAGCUGCUGCUGGCGGUCGUCAUGGAUGCUGUCAGGAGAGCAGCAGCAGAGGGGAGAGUCUUCUCACGGGCAGUGACUGGGACAGAGGCUUGUGGUAACACGACCUGCACUGGAAAAGCUGUGUCAGUGCCCUGGCCUCAGUGUCCUCCUCGGUAAAUGGGGGUCUGAUAGUGGAGAGGAUCCCACAGGCUGACAAGUGCAAAGCUUUGGCACAGGAGAGCACAGGAGGGGUCAGGGGCUGAAUUUUGCACACACACCCCCCAUUCCUGUGUUGAAGUCCUUACCCCACCCCACUCCCAGUCUUCAGAAAGUGACUGGAUUUGGAGAUGGGGCCUUUACAGAGGCAAUUAAGGUUAUAUGAGGUCGUUAGGAUGGUUUCUAAUCCAGUAGGACUGGUGUCCUUAUAAGUAGAGGAGAUGAGGACACAGACACACAGAGGGACGACCCCGUGAGGACACAGGGAGGAGAGGCCGCAGGAGGAACCAGCCCUGGGAUACCUGGGUCUCGGACUUCUGUCCUCUAGGUGGUGACAGCAUGACUCUGAGGUUUUGAGCCCCCAGCCUGGGGCACUUUGUUAUGGUGGCCGCAGCAGACUAAGACAGUCGGUGCUCAAGAGCGAAGGCCGCCACCAGUGUCACCUCUCAUGGGACUCUCUGGAGCUUGAAGUGUGGUACUCCAUUUCUGAAGGACGCCUGAGCCACAUUUCUACGUGCUUAGAACUUUUCCUGUGCAUAUUUGAAAAUGCAUUUUAGAAAGAUAAAUAUUAGCGGGUCUUGCUGCUGUUAGAAGUAUCGUGGCAUCUGUUUC